This 225-nucleotide ribosomal RNA is filed under the name uncultured bacterium. RNAcentral's name for it is "partial 16S ribosomal RNA". It matches the Rfam family "Bacterial small subunit ribosomal RNA", at positions 524 to 746 of the family's 1533-position model. The record is from RNAcentral.
UACAGAGGUCUCGAGCGUUUGUUCGGAUUCAUUGGGCGUAAAGGGCGCGUAGGCGGUGCGGUAAGUCACCUGUGAAAUCUCCUGGCUCAACUGGGAGCUUGCAGGCGAAACUGCCGUGCUGGAGUGUGGGAGAGGUGCGUGGAAUUCCCGGUGUAGCGGUGAAAUGCGUAGAUAUCGGGGAGGAACACCUGUGGCGAAAGCGGCGCACUGGACCACAACUGACGC